GUGCCCGGAGGUCGGGGCUCGAGCUCCCCCCGGGCUGAGGGAGGGAACGCCGCAGGUGCAGCCGGGAGAAGUGGCGGACAAAGAGCGGCGGCACCUGCACUCACCAUCGGUAGCAGCCUUCGCUGGCCUCUAGCGUGAAGUUGACGCGGGUGAAGAAGUGGUACAUGGACCAAAGUGCAGAAAGAGGUUAAGGAAACCAGAAAGGGAACUCCGUGAGACGUGAACUCUGUAAGCCAGGUGAAUGCAGUGGUGACUGUGGUGUGAGCAGCUUGGAGCCCCUCCAACAAGCACAUUUGCUGUUGGUUCCAUCCUUACAUCUGCAGAGCCCUGUGAAAUAUCUGCAUCAAAGAAGCACCAGCCAUGGAAGUAAAGUAGUCCUAUACGUGAAGAUGCACUUAAACAGCCAAGAGAAGAAAAGUAGAUUGUAACAAACAUCCCUUCUUGCUGUGACAGGGGUGGUGGGAGUCAGUAGUUUCAGAUCAUUGUACUUGAGUGUUUAGUUUUAAUCAGCCAUUAUUUCAAAACUGUAUGAAAAGUCUUAGCAACGUGCAAACCUACACAGCUGCUCAGUCUGACUGGCAGAACUCACUGAGUUUGCAUCCAUCCUGCUGUCAUGUGUGGUUCAGGUACCUGCCUCUGCUAGGACUCUGAUCUGCUGCUACAGAGAUUGAAUUGCCAGAAAGUGCAUUACUUUUCAUUACUUUAAAAUGGAUAUCAUAGAAACAGAGUAUAUAAAACAACAUUCAUUUUUCAAUUAUUUCUUUAUUGCUUUCUCUACUGGUGGAGUUAUCAUGUUCAAUUUACUGUAUUAGACUUUUUGUGUCUUCAUACGCAUAUUGAAGAUUUUAUGAGAACACUCUCAGCCUUACAACUAUUCUCUGCAAAACUAAUGAUGGAUUUAUAGCAACUGUAAAACUGAACACUUUCGUUAUUCCUGCCAGUAUUUUCUUUCCAAGCUGCGUCAUGAGAAGAUGUUUGGCCAAAGGAAGGCAUAAAUUCAGGAAAUUACUAAAAUCAAGGCAGCCAGUUAAUGGUAAUAAGGAAAGAGUGUUAAAUUCUAGCAAAGUUGAUUUCUUUCAAAUUAUUUGGAAGGGACCACUUUUGUUUAGAAGCAUCACUUAAAUCAGAGCCAAAUCUCUCAUUUGUUGCUUUAUCUAGUCUGCCCUGGCUGCCAUGGGUAGUUUUAUUUUAUAAAGCCAUUUGAUGUGCAAGACUUUCCCAGAUAGUAUAAAACACCAAGGGCUUACUCAAUUAUUCAGGAUGUGUCUGAUAACACUGAGAUUAUGAAACAGUAACAGCAGAUAAAAAUAAACCUUUUAACAUCAGAGUUUAUCUACCUUUCUAAUGUAAAUUUAUGGUUAUUAAAGAAGCCUAUUUAUAGCUCUUUUCAAAGUGUUACAUAAUAGUGUUUUUUCCAUGUGCCUUUAUACAGAGAUGGAAAUCAUAUUAAUGAGCUAUUCACUGAGCAACUGAAUGAAUGCAUGAGUGAUGAGAAUUCACAAGAAAUAGAAGAGUAACAAACAAACAAAUAUCCCAGCCUUUGUUUCCCCUUAAAUACAUCCGGGAAAUUUAGGAAAUCACAGAAGUCUUAAACCUUGAAAAUAAUUAGUCAAAUGUAUAAGUAGGCUUAUGAAUAUGUUUAAUGACUUAGGUAAUGGCAAUAAGGAAAAUGAAUUAUGAUCUUUUCAAGGUUACUUGAUUUCAUAUUAUGGUAUGUACACCUCAGAAGUGUUAAGUGGGCAAUCAAAUACAAUAGUUCUAUGUCUUUUUAAAUGUUAACACUGUUCCAAACUGUUUUCUUAUUUUCUAUGCUUUAAACACCAACAUGGGACAAUUUAUUACGCUUUAGCAUCUCUUCUGUCUUCCAGCAGAAGUACUUUGGGCAGAAGUCUUGACUUCGCUUAUCCUAGCACUGGUAAUGAUUGUGUUAUCCAAAUGCCUCUUGAACACUAACAUGCACAGGGAACAAACCUCUUCUGGGAAGCCUAAAGCAUUGUUUGACCAGCCUUACAGUGAAGAAAUUUUUCCUUUUGUUCAGCCUCUGCUCACGUAGGACAUGCCUUCCAGCCCUUUCAUCACCUUUGUUGCCCUCCUCUUAAUGUAUUCAUGUAUCUUAAAAUCCUUUUUAUAUUGUGGACCCACAACUGCACACAAUGUUCAGAGUGAGGCUAUGCCUCUAGAAGGCUUCUGUACCUACUUACUCAGCAAGAUACUUCUGUAUUUUUCCAUGCAUGCUUGCAGUAUAUAACAUGCAUUUCAAAUGUAAAAUUAGAGUUUACUUUCCACUCUAAGAUCACAUAAGUACAAAAAAAAUCAGGGACUCUUGCUGACCUUGAAGAAACAUAGCACAAUUGCUGUUAUUUCAAUAAUGAGUUCUUCCAAAGAAGAUUUAACUUACUGCAGUGGAAUGAUAGAAGAAAACGCAGGAGAUGCUGCAUGGACACCAGAAUACAGGAUGUUAUGUAUGCAUUAAAAUCUGUACGGAUCGAAGUAUGAAGUCUGAUUGCACCAUCUUGUUUAAAUUAGCUCUAAAACCUACAGAUUAUCCUUCCUGAGUCUAUGAUUGUAUGAUUCUUUCAUAUACCCAAGUAAAUUUGGGGGUGCGAGGAUAUUUCUGUCAAAGUACUUUUAACAAUUUUGCAGGUGAAAAAUGCUUGAGGUAUUACUGAUUGCUUAAUGAUUCUUCCAGCAGCAAGUGAAGGAGUUACACACAGAUCAGGUGAUCUUAUUUAUUAAGGUAUAUCCAGCUUCUUUAAGUAUGGACAAUAGCUCUUAGAGAUGCAUAAAACUGUACGCAGUAGCCUCUUUUUUUUUUUUUACAAGUCUAAUAACAUUCAGUAGCAAUUGCAGGUGUUUGUACUUGCUGAAGUUGUUUUCCUGGUGAUUUUUUUUCCCCCUCUUCUUCAGGUUAGGGAUGAAGCUCAACUCAUUCUGAUGUCUAUUGCAGCACCAUUCUUAUGUGGAGAAUUUAAUUCAUUAGGCUGUCAGUUUUCAAUUCAGCAGGAGGUUAAUAUUAGUUUGUCCCAAGGAUCUGUGUUAUAGAUAGUACUUAAUGUAUUCAUUAAUUAUCUGGAGAGGCAGAAAUGAAGGGUAGAAGAAAAAAUGAGGUCAGCAGGAUUUGCAGAUGACAAAAUUAUUUAGCGUAAGUCUUUAUAAGACGAGGCUGUGAGGAACUUCAUAGAAACAGAAGUAGACAAAUUGGCAGCAUAAUGCUUGAUGACAGUCAGACAUUGACAAACGUAGCCUAGUGCACAUAAGAAUGAAAAUUCUGAACUGCUUGUUUGCAUGGUCCUGUUCUAGCUUAUCAGUCAUUGCAAAAGGCAAAAGGAACAUCCAGCACAGUACAGAAAUCCUUCUCAGUGCUCAGUAGCAGUCAAAAUCUACAUAAGAUAAUGUGAUGCAGAAAAAAAAAAGCAUAAAACUGAUCCAACAUGAUAGAAAAAUAUUAGUUCCAGUUCAAAGUAAAAAUUCACAAUACACUAGGGUCAUUCCAUCCCUGUUAAGAUAGGGACAUGUCUGAAUAAUUUGGAAGUCCAUCUUCAAGUCUGUUUUCUUUCCAAUGCAAGUUGGAAGCCCUUCAUUGUAACGCAUGCUGGGUACAUUUGCAAUCUGAAGAGUGUUUCUCUUCCUUUGCUUUUAUUUAAUAAAGCUCAGUGCCAUUUAGUGAUAUUCCCUUGAACAGAUUCCUGUUGCUCGAUGAAGAAAAGAUCUGUUGUCUACAAGAUUUCAUCAGUUCACUUUUAUUCUUAUGCGAUUACCCUGCGCAUAUCAGCAUCACUCUUCCAUUUUAUUUCUCCUAACUAGCUGGCAUCUUGGUGGUGCUGUUUUUUAAGUUCUCUGUAAAUGCUCUCUCUUGGGUCCUCAGUGACACGUUUGUUUUCUCUUUUUUCUCCCCAACUUUUUUAUUGGCUUUGAUUCCUUUUGAGGAAGUUUUCACUAUCUCAGAUCAGCUCUUUAUAUAAUAAGUGUAUUAAUAAGGGGAUAAAGAGACAGAGUUUAUUAUCAUUACACAUGCUAAGGUUAGGGACAAGGUUAUUCACGAUAUAAGCAACUGUAAUUCUACAAGAUUAGAUGCUUUUGUAGGUUGAGCUUUGCUCCAGAGUGAAAUUAAAGUAUUUUGGAACAUUUGUUCUUGCUUCUCUCUUGUGGAAAAAAAAAGAAAAAAAAAAGUGGAUGAACGUGGAUGAAUAAUAACUGAUCUCACCACUGUCACGUUCUACUUAAAAUUUGUAAAACCCUGUAAGUGUCCCAGCUAACAGCCCCAGAAUUGCCAUGCUGUCUUAAACUCUGUAGCUUGUAGUUACUAUUUGUGAAUUGUUCUCUCCAUAUUUUUAUGCAGCACUGUUCUGAAUUAGCUACAAAAAUGGAGAAUUUAGAUUUUAUGUUUGUCGAAUGAGGUUACUGGUAGAUUCCCAGCAGGAUGUUGUAUGAAGGCCUAUGUUUUUGGCAAUCCUUAAGUUGAUGGAAAGAUUAUUUUUCAUUAACUUUCAUUUCACAGAAGUGAUGCCCAAGGAGGCUGUG
Molecule: long non-coding RNA, 4521 nt
Organism: Centrocercus urophasianus (Greater sage-grouse)
Lineage: Eukaryota; Metazoa; Chordata; Aves; Galliformes; Phasianidae
Exons: 3
Source: RefSeq, a predicted model, not a curated record